Molecule: long non-coding RNA, 1414 nt
Filed under: Marmota monax (woodchuck)
Lineage: Eukaryota; Metazoa; Chordata; Mammalia; Rodentia; Sciuridae
Source: RNAcentral
GAAACUUGCUCAGGACCUGCCCUGGGGCUGCCGUGAGAGAGACAUAACAUGACAGGAGAGAGGGGCCAGUGCUGCACGUGGUCGGUGCUAAGUUGUUACUGGGGAUUGACUAAUUAGUUGAAUGAGAAACUGGAAACUGUCACCUUUGAUUUCCAGAAUAUUCUCUUUCACCUUCAGCUCCUUAUGGUGGCCUAUGAGAACGUGACUGUUAGGAGGUGUCCCAGAGAGAGGACCAUGCUCAUUCUUUCCCUUCUGGCUAUGACGGCCGGAGCAACAGCAGCCAUUUCAGACCUCGAAUUGGGCUCUGGCAUGGAGUCUUCACACACCCACGAGCAAAGCGGGAGAAACCUGGGUCUCCGGAAUGGGGAGCCCAGCUCUGAGAAGCCCUGGAAUUUGUACUUGGAAAACAGACUGACUUCCACUCUGCUCACGGCAGUCAUGACAGUGCUGUGUGGACCGUUGGCUUCCUUCAAAUCCAGUGUCCAGGCGAAGGACAGCCCGGGGGCCUCUGCUGCCUCCUCUUCACCUCUGACACGGGCCACCUUCAGUUGUCCCUCAGCAGCCAGCCUUGUCCCCUUGCCUGCCUCAAUCCCUUGGGCCAGUCCCUUGGGUCCUUACUCUCCUCUGAGUGCCCAGGUCUCACUGCUAGUCCUUCCCCCAGGCCCAAGCCCCCAGCCCGGUCAGACGGCCUCCUAGAGCCUGGGGUCCGAGGGGACCUUAGUUGCUCUCAGGUCUGACCCGAGCAGGGGCUCGGCCCUGGAGGACGCUCACCGCCCCAGGAGCGGCAGACCCCAGGCUGCACGGGGCGGGGGCUCCUCCCGGGAGCCUGGAGGCCGAGGCUCGGGUCUGCCCUCGAGGAGCCCGGCUCCUCGUCCUUCUCUUUGCGGGCCUCAGUGGCCCCGGCUGUGCUGUGGGCCGGGGACAGAGGGUCCCUCAUCCAGGUGGUCUCCCUGAGGGGGCCGGGGACCCUGGGGCAUGAAACAGGCGGGCGGUGACGUUGGUGUGUCAAGCAGCCUGUCGCUGGUGGCCGGAGGGACUGGUUGGUCAGGCUCAGGGACCAGCGGCCACUGUGCGGGGCCGCUCCUGGUUCGAGCCCUGCUGUCCUGCGCCUCGGGGACCCUGGCCUGGAGGGCGUCCGUGGCCCGCGGCUGCCGUGACACGUUCCAGGAGGCUGGGCUCUCAUGGGGACACGGGGCAGCAGGAGGGUCCCCCGCCUCUGAGGAGAGGCCGCCCCCGGGCCGUCCUCCGUUUCCCGGCGCCUGCCUCUGGGUCUGCUCCUGCGAUUCGCUGUGACUUUGCGGUUCCUGUCCCCCUGGGGACACUCCGCCCUAGUCCAGGGUGGUCCUGUGACUUAGUUUCAUUGGCGGACACCCUUUCUCUAACAAGACCUCGUUUGCGGGUACGGGUCAGGACG